RNAcentral lists this long non-coding RNA (894 nucleotides) under Mytilus galloprovincialis (Mediterranean mussel). Lineage: Eukaryota; Metazoa; Mollusca; Bivalvia; Mytilida; Mytilidae. The record is from RNAcentral.
GCUUUUUCAUGAGACCUGUUUAACCUACCGCACAUAUUUCAAACAAAAUAUUCUUUUUCUUCAUUUGCAAUUUCGAAAUAGUGGAUCAUACUCUAUCAAAGUUUCUUAAUGAUCGCUUUCUAAAGUUUUUCCUCCCUCAGCUCACUACUGAGGACCUGCGGCCUGACCCAAACAGGAAGUUAUACAAAUGACUGUUUUUCCAGGAUUGGAUUAAAUAGCCAUUUAAAAAAAAGAGGGGACAAAAGAUACCCAAGGGACAAUCAAACUUAUAAAUCUAAAACAAACUGACAACGCCAUGGCUAAAAAUGAAAAAAACAACAUGAACCCAACCAAAUACAUGUACUAGGGGUGAUCUCAGGUGCUCCCAAAGUGUAAGCAGAUCCUGCUCCACAUGUGGCACCAGUCAUGUUGCUUAUGUGAUAACAAAUCCGGUAAUUAGUCUACCUGUUUUUUAGCCCCGACCCUAACUUUUUUAUUUGAUCUUAAAAAAAAAAAAAAAAAAAUUGUAUCAACCGACCCCGUUUUUGACACAGGCUUCUGAUAGAUGACAUAAUAUUUUUUCUCUCUUGCUUCUACUUGCAUAGAAAGCCAGUAAAACAUUUUAUUAAUGUCAAAAGGUAUUCCAAAUAGGUUAAAAUCCAAGAAAUUUGCACAGCAGGUGCUUCAAAAACAUUGCAAAUGGCACACUUCCGGUUUUUGAAACUAAUUACGGAUCCGGACUUGGAAAAACCAUGAUAAUUUUCCAGAUUUCAUUUCUGAUGUCAAAAAAAAAAAAAAAAAAAAAAAGAAUUCCGACCUACCGACCCUAUUUUUCAAAAUGAUGUUACCGGAAACACAUAUCUUUUUUUUUAGGCCUAUACUAAAAAAAAAAUAAUUAAACAAAAAAAUGUAACA